CUAGUUUAAGUUGUAAAAAAAGGGGCUAAGGUUCACCAAUGUUCCCAACUGAAAAGUUUUAUUAAAACACAUGUUUUAGACAUUUUCGAAAUGUUUUGAAAAAACAUUAAGUAAACUUAGUCCACUAAUGCGAAGUCACCGAAAAUUUUUUCCUUACCGAUUAGUUUAAAAAACUUUUAUUACAAAAGUCAUCAAUGCAGAUUCUUCUCUGACUUUGUAUUAAGUUCAGCCAAAUUUUGUUAUGUGAGAUCAUCCUUUAGGUUAUUUCAGCUUGUGAACCGCCAUACACUACAGCUUUCUGCCUCCACUAAACACUGCCAUGGAGGUGGGAAUGGAGGCCUUGGAGGGAAAGCAGAAGGCGUGGAUUUGGCUUCUGGUCUGAUUUUGCUUCAAGAUUCAGAGAUGUAUAGGUUUAUCACGCUCUUGCUAAACUGAAUGACUUCAACCCUUGGUGUCCCGUUUCCUUGUUUUUUCAUGUUCCUUGAAGUCUUGCCUUGCUGUCUUCACCCCUGAAGAAGCAGUCACUUCCUCCAUCAAGCGACUGGCUUCAGGAGAGAAACACACACCUUGGGUCGCCCUGAGAGGGACUGAGGCGUUCUCAGACCGUUUCUGUGGCCACGUGUGCUCCACACUUCUUGUUCCUUCUUGGGAGGGAAUUCUUAAGGUUGUCUGCCUUCUCUGGAUGCUGCAGAGCCAGGCCGUGUGCUGGAAUUUCGCGGGUGUCUGGGAUUCCCACAAAGGUGCUCUUAUCCGCGGAUGAUGUUCAACAUCAGUGUUCGUUGGGGUUCAAGAUGAGUCAAGGCUCAAGCAGGCUUGAAGUCCUCCAACAGACAAGCCCUAAUGGACAAGGACAAGGAAACCACUACCCUAACUUCUGACUUCACAAACUAUUUUUGCCUGAUUUUCAACUUAGCCGCAGCUCCCUUCCCACACGUGGAGUGUGCACCACACAGAGAAGUUCC
Molecule: long non-coding RNA, 962 nt
Filed under: Equus asinus (donkey)
Lineage: Eukaryota; Metazoa; Chordata; Mammalia; Perissodactyla; Equidae
Description: lncRNA (ENSEASG00005029466.1)
Source: RNAcentral